Molecule: non-coding RNA, 223 nt
Filed under: Blautia sp.
Lineage: Bacteria; Bacillati; Bacillota; Clostridia; Lachnospirales; Lachnospiraceae
Description: T-box sequence
Rfam family: T-box leader
About the family: Uncharged tRNA acts as the effector for transcription antitermination of genes in the T-box leader family.
Source: RNAcentral
ACAAAGGCUGUGAAGGUGCCAGUAGAUAUUUAUUUUCUGCCAGAGAGGGAGAGUCACCGGCUGAAAGCUUUCCUCAGUUCAGAUAAGUAUUGAGUUUCACACCGGAGCCGCACUUCUGAAACCCAGUAGGUUGUGCCGUUGCUGUGCGUUAAACAGGAAAGAGUGCCUGCCGUUCACGGCGGGAACAAGGGUGGUACCACGGAUAUUUUGCUUCGUCCCUUUU